RNA transcript from Labrus mixtus (cuckoo wrasse), 6932 nucleotides. It is a transcript of the gene named neurite extension and migration factor b, with no coding region annotated. The transcript has 4 exons. Lineage: Eukaryota; Metazoa; Chordata; Actinopteri; Labriformes; Labridae. The record is from RefSeq and is a predicted model, not a curated record.
GUUUGCAUUUCGGGGGAAAGACGCAUCUCUGAUACUGUCCGAAGCGGCUGAGGAGGAUCCCAUUGCGGCGAGGGAAAAACGCAGUUUGGGCGCAGACGCUCUGACGGUAGGCAGAGAAGACGUUAUUAUGCUGCUGCUGCUGCUGCUGCUGCUCAGCGUGCCGUGUGUGUAUGUGAAUACAGGGAGCGAGCUCUGUGAGGUGGGACAGUCAAAAUGAUGCGUAGGAGGUGAAGCGUUGAGCCGUAUUGAUGGAUGUGUUAACAGAAAGCAGUCUCACAUUGAUUGUGAAGACUUCAGAACCAGAAAAUGCAAGUGCAGAGAAAACAGGGAUAUGUGAGCAGAGCGGUGAUCUGAGUCUGUGCGGCCUUGUUGAUGCUGCUCUCCCUCCGGCCUCAUCUCCUCCUGCCGCAGAGACUUCACAGCAGGCCUGCCAAACUCACCAGAGGACCACGCCCACAUCACCAACACUCUCUGUCCCCCUUGACACUGACUCCUCUUUGAGUCUAACAGCAACCCCUUGCCCCCCCACUGAUGAUGCGCCGACUGUAGUCCCCCAGCUUCAGCACACCCCCACUCCCACAUCACUCCCCACUCAAGCUGUAAGCUCUUGGGACCCAAAAGGAGACACCCAGAAGACGUCUCUUCUGCUGCCUGUUGCACUCCCUCUGUCAACUACAAUGAUGGAGCCUGGCACGGUGUCUGUCCUGACGGAUGAGUGUCUUCUUCAGCCUACACGCACCUGCCUCGGCUGCUUCAUCGAGACCCGGGAUGCUACUGACCCUAAUUCCAUCCAGAACCCACCCCUCGACCCAAACACCAACCAUGACACAGAGACUGGGUUAAGUGUGAGGAUAGGAGAUGUGAGCCGAGAAGACUUCUCUGACAUCAACAAUAUCAGCAUCCAGUGCCUGAGCCAUGCGGGGGAGGCAGUGAGUCAUUAUGGUGAACAGCUCCUCUCUGACCAGCUACUUAGCUUUCCUCUGCCGAAGGCCCCAGGUGAGGGCAAGAGAGAGGAUGAAAACAAAACAGCGGAGGACUGCGAUGACCCUGAGGAUGAUGCGACAGCUAAAAACCUGUAUGAGGGACUGUUAUUGGACAAAGUGAGCGGAGAGGAGGUUCUGCUGGCCAAUGCCAGCCAGGACUGGGGCUACUUUGAAUCCUUCAUCAGCGAGAGUAAAAUGGAACUGCUGGACCUGUGUUCUAAGAAUGAACUGUCAGUAAACCUCUUCUCUGAGGAAGAUGUUGACAAUCUCUUUGAUGAUGAAGACGAUGACUCAACUUUGAGUAGCGAUGUCUGUUCCUUGAAGAUUCGUUACGAGUCUUUCCAGGACAACAUGAGGGAAAAAACCAAUGUGCUCCAAGAAGAGACACAGUUUAACUUCUUCCCGAGUGUCCUGGCCAACUGUGCCAAGAAAGAGGAGGGAGCAGGAGUCUUGAGGAGGAGUGUUGAGGAUGCUCAGCCCAAAACUAAUGAGCUAAUACUGGAGACAGGACAGGAAGAAAAGGUGGGGGACUGCAGUGGUAAGAGCCCCCUUGAUGGUUCCCAAGGGUCACCCAUGUCAACACCCAAAGUCAACUACCUAAUGGACUUCAAUUCAACAGAGGAGUCAGGUGAAUUCAGUGAUGACAGCUCCUGCACUGGCUCCUCCUCAGACACCCUGCAGGAGGGCAGAUUUAAGAAGGGCCACUCAAAGAGAUUGCUCAGCCCAUCUAACCCUCUCAACUAUGGUUUGCGCUCCAAGAGAAAGGUUCGAUACAGUGAUGAUUACUUAUACGACGUUGAUUCGCUUGAAAGUGAGAAGAAUGCAGAGAAAAAAGAGAAAGUUCCUACGGGUCAAAAAGAGGAAGAGGACGUAGACUGGUGUCCUAAAAAGCGUCGGAAAUCAUGUCGGAAAGAGCCACCAGUGGUAAUCAAGUACAUCAUCAUCAACAGGUUCAAAGGAGAAAGACUCAUGUCAGUGAAACUGGGCAGGUUGGAACCUGUGGAUGCUGCUGUGAGUUUAAACACAGAAACAGUAAGCAAAUAUGAGAGACUGGCUCCUCUGAAGGAUUUCUGGCACGAGCGGCAAAGAGAGAGACAGGAACAGCUUAAGCUGGCUGCCAGAGAUAAACAACAACGCGGCGUUCAUCUAAACGGACGCCAUCAUCGUCCUUUUAACUCUAGUCAUCCAAAAAGAAAAUACAAGAUAGCAAACAGGCUUAAGGUUCAGAGGAUUCACACUGUGGAGCAAUCAGCAACAGCACAGGGCUCCCCUCUCUCUGAUCAGGGCCAGAGAGGUGUCAGUAAAGAAGAGGCCACCCCCACGGUAGCAGGAAUAACAGCAGCCCCAGGCCUCCCAGUGACAUUAGACACAAACUCCAUCAUGCACACAGUCACAGCCAAGAGCCGCUCCCAGGAGAGAGAGGAGAGGGAGGGGAGGAGAUUGGGAGGAAAUAAAACAGUCAGGAUAAGGAAAUUCAAAAGCGAAGCCAGGCUGAGGAGCAAGAAAAUGAAAGAGGCAGAAGGAGAGGAGGGGAGGAGCGUGACAAAUGAAACGGAUGCCUGUGUCGCUGCGGCACAGAUUGAGGACCUUACUGCUGAGUUAGAAGAGGCAGGCAUUAGCUCAACCACAGUCAAACCCCAUUUCUCUGACAAUACCACCACAGCUCACACAUCUGAGGAGAGAUUUCCCUUUGUUUCGUCCAACUGCUCUCCUGACAAAGCUCCCUCAGAGGAGGAGGUGGAGGCGGGUGUCCCUGUCAUCCCAGGGGGCUACCUGCAGACCCUGUUAGAUGCUACAGACUCCUCCAGUGGAGCAACUAUCCCUUAUUUCCCCCAGCAGCCCUCUAGGCAGCAGUAUCCACUGGGGCUAUCCCUAGAGGAGAAACAGUUUUCUUCUCUGCAGCUUGCUCAGAGCUGUGUCCUCUCCCCUCCCUCCGAGUCAGAGCUACAACAAUCUCCCCAGAACUGCCCCAGCUUCCCCAGUAUGUGGCACCCACAGCUCUGCCCAAGCCACAGCCAGAGCUUCGGGCCCGAGACCCCCGAGACUCCCAUCUUACCCAACAACUUCCCAGCUACAGUGCCCUUGAAUGACAACAUGCCAGUGUCUAACUACAGCCAGCUGAGCCCUGAGGCUGACAGGCUGCUUUAUGAUAAGAGCUACCUGACUGAGUCUGGGCUGCAGCCUGGGGCAGAUCUGCAAGUGUGUCAGGCUGCCUGUGUGGAAGGCCAGGUGCAAUACCAGAGAGGGUCCCUGUGUACAGACAAUGGCAGGCUCAUCAGCUAUGACUCAGUGGGUUCUCUGUCAGCCUCCUCCAGCAAUUACAGCUCCCUCAGCCUCAAGUCCUGUGAGCGAGAGGGUGAGGAGGAGGGCCGAGACAACUUCUUAGCUCACUGCAGUCCUAAAGUGGUGAUUCAGCAGAGUGUGGAUGCCCUUACCCCACUCAGGGAGUCCUCGGACCUGCUGGACAUUUCCAACUUCACACCUGACAAGUUUAGACACUCAUCACUGUCAGAGCUUUCCCCACCCGAAACCCCAAAUCUGUCCCCGCAAGUGGUGGGACGCGAGAUGAAGAUCUCGGGCAAUGUUGGAGAAUACCAGGAUGUUAAUGACAUGACUAUGGAUUGUAAUAGGGAGGCAAAGUGGAACUGUGAUGUUAUGCAGCAACAAGAGCACACAGCAAAUACAUACACGGUGGAAGACAGCCAGUUUCCACUGCACAACUUUAACAGUCAAGAUGUUUUAACUAUAGAUAAAAAGGAACUGGGAGCUACAGAAUUUGAUGAACAGACCGGUGAAACUUUGGCUGGUGCAAAGAGCAUUAAGUCAAAGAGGAAAGGCAAUUGCAAACAAACAGCUGCAGGACAGGGCCCGAAGAAAGUCCGGGCUCCCAGAGCUGCUAAGUCAGAAAAGGUGAAAACCCCCAAACAGAACUCACGUUCCACCAAAAAGAUAAAGGCCAUGUUGGAGGGUAAGGCAGCAAAGAACCAAGCAGGUGGUGGUGGCACAGGUCUGACUGACAGUAGUAGCACUGGGGAGUGGUCUGGCACUGGCUGGUCAGAGAGCAACAGCCUGGUUGGAGACGACCAGAGAGAAUUUGAAGAGCCCUCCAAUAUUCUGUCCAACAUUGUCUCUGGCAUGGCCGAGGUCCAAAGGUUCAUGAUGGCCUCCAUUGAGCCACUGUGGAAUCCAAUGUCUGAGGCCUGCAUGCCCUCUGAGGCCAAUAGUCUCAACCUAAAGACCCUCAAAAUCUUGGCAGGCACUGAGGCUGACCUGAAGAAAAAAGGAGCCGCGCUAACAGGGGCCGGGAGAGGCAGAAAGGCAGGGGGAAAGGGAGGGAAAAACCAGGCCAAAUUUAAUGCUUCUCAUCCCUUAUUCCCCCAGCUAGCUCUGGGCUGUAACAUGUUUGACAAACCCAACUUUAUUAACCCCGGCCCUGCACACAAAAAGCUCUACCGCCACAAGACCAGUGCAAAGUUCCCUCGAAUUGAGACACUGAAGGGGAAGCGAGCUGAGAGGGACCCAAAUAAGGACUUAGCACUGAUGACCUCUUUUGAAAAACUGAGGUAAUAUUUUGUUAUCAGCUGCUGUUGCACCCCCUUCUCACUAUUCCCAACUACCUGCUCAGCACCCCUCCCAAGCAUACCCACACUGACGCUAUGCCAGAGCUGCAUGAGUACUUCGCCCCCCCCCCCCCUCCCCCCCUCCCCCGACUACUCCCACUUCCUUUUACCCCACUGCCCCCAGGAGGAAAUUAAUAUCUGCAUGAAAAACUUCUUGUACUUUGCAAACUACCUAUUGAGUGAUUGUGUCAAGCUUGAUUGAGAUUUGAAACGACCAUGGCUGCAUUUUUCUUGCUUUCGUUGUUUCUGCCUUGUUUGUUCUUCUUAUAGUCAGUUUUGUUUUACUUUUGUCUGAAAAAAAAAAAGAUUAAGCCUUGAAAACAGUUCUGUCGCCUUUUUGAGGAACUUUGUUUUUGUAUUUUCUCAGCAGAACUAGCUCUCCCCAGAUUAAUGUAUUUAUUACCCUUUUCCCUAAAGAUGUAGCUAUAUACACAAAGCAUUGAGUGACAUCUACACACCCCUCCUCCUCAUCUGUUUUUGUAUGCAGAAUAUGGAUGUCCUGUUGUUGCUGUCCUUCAUACACUGCCUGGCUCAUUUCAAGAGGGAAACCUACAAUUAUUGAGCCCUAUUUAAGCUCAAGACAUCUUGAACACACAAGAUGGGACCAUUUUGUAUUGAUGACAUAUCAGACGUUGUCUUUUUUUCCCCCUCAAGGUUGGAAUGACUGUCCAUUUACUUUUAUCAAGCAUUUCUUUUUCUUCUGGAGUUGAGAGGAACUGGUUAUCUAAAUUUACAUUUUUACGCCUUGCCAAUUCAUAAAAGCUCCACCCUCAGAGUAUUUUUGUCAAUGUUGUUGUACAGGGACAUGCAAUAUUUGCAAAAAAAGAUGAUUAUAAUCUUAAAAUCAAUGUGCCAAAAGUAACAAUGCUGUGUAAAUGACCUCUUAUAUAUGUGUGAAUAUUGGCUGUUCCUCUUUUCUAUCCAUUGGAGUAUUGGCUGCUCGGGUUGGAGACUCCUCACAGAGAUUUGCCACCACAGGAAAUCUUUAUUUGGGACUUUUCUCUCUUCUCUGAUGAAAGGCACCAACAGCUGGCAGUGGUACGCCACCACUCACUAAACCAAAUCAGAAAGACUUUGAAUUCUCCUUGUUUCCCCCACUUUGUUUGCCAAAUUCAAUUUACCUCAACAUCGCCUGGCACUGAGAAGCAACAAAAGAGAGGCAAAGGGGAGAUCUGCUCUGAAGGUUACAGUAGAGGAUGAAGAUGAAAAACGAGAGGCUCAAAUGAGCUUUCUCUGGACCAAGGAAAGGGUAGUGCAGAUGUUUUAGGUGUAUCAGGGUUAGGACCAAGACAAGCUGCUGAUGGGAAGCUCCACAUGGGCUGCAAGCCCAUUAAGUCUGCCUUCUCUCAUUUCUGCCUAUUGUCAAAUUGAAUGUACUUUCUGAGUUCAUAGUUUUUAAUUUUCUUCUCUCUUUUUUUUUUUGGUAAAAAAAUGUGCCACUGUUGAGCUGCCUCAUGUUAAUGGUGCUAAGAAAGCAGACAAUUGUUUUAUUUUAUUUUUUUGAUUCUGUUUGUUUACCCAGAUUUAAAAAAAGAAAUGCAAAGUAGAUUAGGUACCUAACCCUCUUUAUGAAUGUAUAUUAUAAUGUUAUGUUUGAUGUAUUCACUUCAUGAUUCUUUGACAUUGAUUGGAAUUACUUUUGCUCUUUUAAUUAAAAGAUUACCGAGCUUUAUAUAUACUGUCUAGAGUUGUUACAAGAAGGAAUCUUAAUGAACUCUUGACACUACAAAAUCUUGUAUAUUUUUUGUGUGCCAAUUUGUAACAUAUUUUGUAAGUGUAUAUUUUUCUUAGAAAGUGCUGUGAAGUAUUUGUGUGUGUGAGUAACCUUUUAAGCGCCUCUGUGGGCAGUGGAAAGGAUAUAAAAUGACGAGUUUCUGGUUUUAAAAACCAAAAUAUGAAAGUAUCAACAGAAAACUAGAACUAUUUACAUUUUGUUGGGAGUUUUGUAAUAAGACCAUGAUCUUGUUGUGAGAGUGUUGUGUUACUGUGAAAACACAAAUAAGCAAAGAAAAAAAAAUGAAAACUUGGAAAAAAUAUAAUUUGUGAACAAUUUGCUGUUUUAUAGAUUUUCAUGUAAAUUAUUUGAGUAUUAUUUUGUUUUUUUUGUUUUGUUGUAACUGUUGCAAAGGUUUUAAAUAUUUGUGAUCAAGCCUGUACGGUGACAAUGUAAUAUUGGUAACUUGCUGAGUUUUGUAAUAAUGUUUAUGGAGUAAAUAUACAAAUUAAAAUAAGAUUUUGAAUGCUGCUUUCUGAAGAGAGCUGGGUUGUGUUUUUACCUCCCACCCUUUGCUGUAGCCGGAUACUUCAAUAAAAACAACAACAACAAAAA